This 253-nucleotide ribosomal RNA is filed under the name uncultured bacterium. RNAcentral describes it as "partial 16S ribosomal RNA". It matches the Rfam family "Bacterial small subunit ribosomal RNA", at positions 524 to 776 of the family's 1533-position model. The record is from RNAcentral.
UACGGGGGGGGCAAGCGUUGUUCGGAAUUACUGGGCGUAAAGGGCGCGUAGGCGGCUCGCUAAGUCGGGUGUGAAAACUCUGGGCUCAACCCAGAGCCUGCAUUCGAAACUGACGAGCUUGAGUUCUGGAGGGGAAAGCGGAAUUCCUGGUGUAGCGGUGAAAUGCGUAGAUAUCAGGAGGAACACCGGUGGCGAAGGCGGCUUUCUGGACAGAAACUGACGCUGAGGCGCGAAAGCUAGGGGAGCAAACAGG